CGGAGGAUCAUUAUCGUAACAACGGAGGUGCGAGGGCUGUCGCUGACCUUUCAAAGGUCGUGCACGCCCAAGCGCUUUCACACAAUCCAUCUCACCCCCUUUUG
Molecule: unclassified non-coding RNA, 104 nt
Filed under: uncultured fungus
Lineage: Eukaryota; Fungi
Description: sequence contains ITS1
Source: RNAcentral